ACACAUGCAAGUCGAGGGGAAACGACAUCGAAAGCUUGCUUUUGAUGGGUGUCGACCGGCGCACGGGUGAGUAACGCGUAUCCAACCUGCCCACCACAUGGGGAUAACCUUGCGAAAGUAAGACUAAUACCCAAUGAUAUCUCUAGAAGACAUCUGAAAGAGAUUAAAGAUUUAUCGGUGAUGGAUGGGGAUGCGUCUGAUUAGCUUGUUGGCGGGGUAACGGCCCACCAAGGCGACGAUCAGUAGGGGUUCUGAGAGGAAGGUCCCCCACAUUGGAACUGAGACACGGUCCAAACUCCUACGGGAGGCAGCAGUGAGGAGUAUUGGUCAAUGGACGAGAGUCUGAACCAGCCAAGUAGCGUGCAGGAUGACGGCCCUAUGGGUUGUAAACUGCUUUUAUAAGGGAAUAAAGUGAGUCUCGUGAGACUUUUUGCAUGUACCUUAUGAAUAAGGACCGGCUAAUUCCGUGCCAGCAGCCGCGGUAAUACGGAAGGUCCGGGCGUUAUCCGGAUUUAUUGGGUUUAAAGGGAGCGUAGGCCGGAGAUUAAGCGUGUUGUGAAAUGUAGACGCUCAACGUCUGCACUGCAGCGCGAACUGGUUUCCUUGAGUACGCACAAAGUGGGCGGAAUUCGUGGUGUAGCGGUGAAAUGCUUAGAUAUCACGAAGAACUCCGAUUGCGAAGGCAGCUCACUGGAGCGCAACUGACGCUGAAGCUCGAAAGUGCGGGUAUCGAACAGGAUUAGAUACCCUGGUAGUCCGCACGGUAAACGAUGGAUGCCCGCUGUUGGUCUGAAUAGGUCAGCGGCCAAGCGAAAGCAUUAAGCAUCCCACCUGGGGAGUACGCCGGCAACGGUGAAACUCAAAGGAAUUGACGGGGGCCCGCACAAGCGGAGGAACAUGUGGUUUAAUUCGAUGAUACGCGAGGAACCUUACCCGGG
RNAcentral lists this ribosomal RNA (938 nucleotides) under uncultured bacterium. RNAcentral's name for it is "bacterial SSU rRNA". It matches the Rfam family "Bacterial small subunit ribosomal RNA", at positions 51 to 979 of the family's 1533-position model. The record is from RNAcentral.